GAAGUCCUGUAGUGUGCGUAUACCACUAUACGUUUUAAAGCCAACACUUUUUGAUAGGGAGCCUGACGUUUCAACUGGAAGUAAAUGCCUCGUGUUCGAAGGACUUACGGAAUGUUGAACAGGGCACCCACCUGCCAUUGCAGGCUUGAAAAACUUGGUGAUUACUUACGGCACAACGGGGCUUCU
RNAcentral lists this non-coding RNA (186 nucleotides) under Geomicrobium halophilum. RNAcentral describes it as "6S / SsrS RNA". It matches the Rfam family "6S / SsrS RNA". Rfam says of the family: E. coli 6S RNA was the first non coding RNA to be sequenced, but its function was unknown until recently. It consists of 184 nucleotides that fold into an extended hairpin structure with a large single-stranded internal bulge. Lineage: Bacteria; Bacillati; Bacillota; Bacilli; Caryophanales. The record is from Rfam by way of RNAcentral.